This 25-nucleotide non-coding RNA is filed under the name Cricetulus griseus (Chinese hamster). Lineage: Eukaryota; Metazoa; Chordata; Mammalia; Rodentia; Cricetidae. The record is from RNAcentral.
UGUAUUAAAAUAGGAAUGUGAAUGC